This 465-nucleotide ribosomal RNA is filed under the name uncultured bacterium. RNAcentral's name for it is "partial 16S ribosomal RNA". It matches the Rfam family "Bacterial small subunit ribosomal RNA", at positions 28 to 507 of the family's 1533-position model. The record is from RNAcentral.
GACGAACGCUGGCGGCGUGCUUAACACAUGCAAGUCGAACGGAAAGGCCCCUUUGGGGGUACUCGAGUGGCGAACGGGUGAGUAACACGUGAGUAACCUGCCCUUGACUUCGGGAUAACUUCAGGAAACUGGGGCUAAUACCGGAUAGGAAUCCUUGCUGCAUGGUGGGGGUUGGAAAGCUCCGGCGGUUUUGGAUGGACUCGCGGCUUAUCAGCUUGUUGGUGGGGUAGUGGCUUACCAAGGCUUUGACGGGUAGCCGGCCUGAGAGGGCGACCGGCCACAUUGGGACUGAGAGACGGCCCAGACUCCUACGGGAGGCAGCAGUGGGGAAUAUUGCACAAUGGGCGGAGGCCUGAUGCAGCAACGCCGCGUGCGGGAUGACGGCCUUCGGGUUGUAAACCGCUUUCAGCAGGGGCGAAGCUUGUGGUGACGGUACCUGCAGAAGAAGCACCGGCUAACUACGUG